CCAAUGUUGUUUAAGUUCAUGAAUUAGGGCAUAAUUUCAUUCAGCCAUGGAAAUUGAGCAUGGAAAAAAAAAUCUGGUGUGGGAUAUAUGAAGCUGAAAAUUUAGUUUGAAGUGUGGUAAUUGUGUUAAAGAUGAACAUUAAACCUUAAAGCAUGAUUUAGUUUAACCAAGGGAGAACUUGUAUAUUUGUAGGAGGGCAUGUUUGAACGUGUAUUGAUAAUUGAUUUUGAAGGUUCGGCUUUAUGCCUUGAUAGUUGGUUUGAAGAUAUGAUGCCUUGGUAUAAAUAUAUGUGCAUUCGGU
RNAcentral lists this long non-coding RNA (301 nucleotides) under Gossypium barbadense (sea-island cotton). RNAcentral describes it as "long non-coding RNA (GBAR_LNC004453)". Lineage: Eukaryota; Viridiplantae; Streptophyta; Magnoliopsida; Malvales; Malvaceae. The record is from RNAcentral.